GCCUGAAUAGCUCAGUUGUUAAGCGUCUGCGUUCGGCUCCGGGUAUGAUCCCAGGUCGUGGGAUCGAGUCCCGCUUCGGGCU
This 82-nucleotide transfer RNA is filed under the name Ailuropoda melanoleuca (giant panda). It matches the Rfam family "tRNA". From Rfam's summary of the family: Transfer RNA (tRNA) molecules are approximately 80 nucleotides in length. Their secondary structure includes four short double-helical elements and three loops (D, anti-codon, and T loops). Lineage: Eukaryota; Metazoa; Chordata; Mammalia; Carnivora; Ursidae. The record is from Rfam by way of RNAcentral.